UACGUAGGGUGCGGGCGUUGUCCGGAAUUACUGGGCGUAAAGAGCCCGUAGGUGGUUUGUCGCGUUGUUCGUGAAAUCUCACGGCUUAACUGUGAGCGUGCGGGCGAUACGGGCAGACUUGAGUACUGCAGGGGAGACUGGAAUUCCUGGUGUAGCGGUGGAAUGCGCAGAUAUCAGGAGGAACACCGGUGGCGAAGGCGGGUCUCUGGGCAGUAACUGACGCUGAGGAGCGAAAGCGUGGGGAGCGAACAGG
Molecule: ribosomal RNA, 253 nt
Filed under: uncultured bacterium
Lineage: Bacteria
Description: partial 16S ribosomal RNA
Rfam family: Bacterial small subunit ribosomal RNA
Source: RNAcentral